UUUCCGUAGGUGAACCUGCGGAAGGAUCAUUACUGAGUGAGGGCCCUCUGGGUCCAACCUCCCACCCGUGUUUAUUGUACCUUGUUGCUUCGGUGAGCCCGCCUCACGGCCGCCGGGGGGCAUCUGCCCCGGGCCCGCGCUCGCCGAAGACAUCCUUGAACUCUGUCUGAAGUUUGCAGUCUGAGCGAAAACUAAAUAAGUUAAAACUUUCAACAACGGAUCUCUUGGUUCCG
Molecule: unclassified non-coding RNA, 233 nt
Filed under: plant metagenome
Description: partial contains small subunit ribosomal RNA, internal transcribed spacer 1, and 5.8S ribosomal RNA
Source: RNAcentral